This 85-nucleotide transfer RNA is filed under the name Klebsiella pneumoniae. RNAcentral describes it as "tRNA-Ser". It matches the Rfam family "tRNA". From Rfam's summary of the family: Transfer RNA (tRNA) molecules are approximately 80 nucleotides in length. Lineage: Bacteria; Pseudomonadati; Pseudomonadota; Gammaproteobacteria; Enterobacterales; Enterobacteriaceae. The record is from RNAcentral.
AGUGUGGCCGAGCGGUUGAAGGCACCGGUCUUGAAAACCGGCGACCCGAAAGGGUUCCAGAGUUCGAAUCUCUGCGCUUCCGCCA